AGUGAACGCUGGCGGUAGGCCUAACACAUGCAAGUCGAACGGCAGCACAGUAAGAGCGUUCUCUUACGGGUGGCGAGUGGCGGACGGGUGAGGAAUACAUCGGAAUCUACUUUUUCUUGGGGGAUAACGUAGGUAAACUUACGCUAAUACCGCAUACGACCUACGUGUUAAAUCAGUGAAUCUUCGUACCUUGCUCGAUUUAAUGAGCCGAUGUCGGAUUAGCUAGUUGGCGGGGUAAAGGCCCACCAAGGCGACGAUCCGUAGCUGGUUUGAUAGGAUGAUCAGCCACACUGGAACUGAGACACGGUCCAGACUCCUACGGGAGGCAGCAGUGGGGAAUAUUGGACAAUGGGCGCAAGCCUGAUCCAGCCAUACCGCGUGGGUGAAGAAGGCCUUCGGGUUGUAAAGCCCUUUUGUUGGGAAAGAAAAGCAGCAGGUUAAUACCCCGCUGUUCUGACGGUACCCAAAGAAUAAGCACCGGCUAACUUCGUG
This 492-nucleotide ribosomal RNA is filed under the name uncultured bacterium. RNAcentral's name for it is "partial 16S ribosomal RNA". It matches the Rfam family "Bacterial small subunit ribosomal RNA", at positions 29 to 507 of the family's 1533-position model. The record is from RNAcentral.